AGAAUAAUAGCCGCAUGAAAGAAUUUCUGUUAUUUUGUGUUGACGAGUAAGGGUUAGCAACAUUAAAUACAAGGGGUGGGAGAGAACCUUGGUGGAGUCUGUCUGGACAGGCUCACUCUGGCCAGUGAUGUAACGGCCACUUGGGUGGUAUGGAACUCUGAGAUGUGUACCCGUCACUUACUGCUUUCUCUCACCCAAACAUCUGGAAGACCAAAUCCUGUCAUUAGACAGCCCACAUGUUAGAAAAACAAAAGGACAGAAAUAAAAAAAAAAAGAAAGAAAACCCAGUGCCCUCCAAAUGGCUGGAGAAAGCCUCAUUAUUGCUGGUAGGAAAUUAGACAUGUAAGGUUAUACUUCAAAGCAACUAUUUUUAUUACAAGAGGCUCAAUGUUUUGAUUUAUUGGGCUUCAGAGCAAGAUUGCAACAAAUAUUUCCACCUCAAAGAAAAGACGAAUCAGGCCUCUGAGCAGUCUACUAAGUGGACUGAGCAGCCUAGAAGUAGCUGAAAAAUCAAGUUUGUUGCAACAGGAGUUGGAAUGAUGAAAAUUGUAUGCAUCUGCUCAAAGUCCCUGGAAAAGGGGCCGCUUCAGUACACAUGCCUCAAAGAAAUGAUGUAAUCGUGUGGGAAUUUUCUUCUCAUCAAAGGACUAUGAUAUCACCCUUUCUUAGUCUUCAAAGUGCUUUCACAAUUCAGAGGAAACAAGUUCAGAGAACUUAAGCAACCUGUCCAAGGUCACACAGCUAUGGACAGGAGCGUGCCAAGUAUCCAGUUCUCUUUCCCCAGCAGCUCCUAACCCAUCUGCCUGCACUGACCAUGUGUUCCAGAUGGACUGCAUAUGCUGCGGUGUGAACGUGCCAAUCGGGAAAUCUGAAAUGUGUGUUUGAUCAACGAAGGCAAAGACUCGGUCCUUGGUGAAAACCCACUUUUCCCUUUGACUUGUCUCUCCAGACAUACUUGUAUUAUGAUGACAAUUAGUAAUUACACGGAGUCUUUCAACCUCAAAGCCCUCAAACUCCUUUUAGUUAGUGCCUUCUGUUUGGCUCCGUGAGUCACUCUGCAGGCUCCGGCAUCAUAGAGGUGGGCUAGCUGUGGGACCUCCACUGUUGGAGUGUGGGUAGAAAGUCCAAAAGAGAGAGAAAACCUGUAGGCGAAAUCUUUAUGCCGUGCAUGUCUGGGUUUAUUGUCACAGACGUUUCGAUCACAACAUUUCAAGCAACAGUGCUCUGUACAGUUUGAUUACAGAUUGCAGUUAAUUUUCUCCUCGCCUUUUCUUUAUGUCAGUG
This 1284-nucleotide long non-coding RNA is filed under the name Bos indicus x Bos taurus (hybrid cattle). RNAcentral describes it as "lncRNA (ENSBIXG00005018282.1)". The record is from RNAcentral. Lineage: Eukaryota; Metazoa; Chordata; Mammalia; Artiodactyla; Bovidae.